UGCAUGUCUAAGUACAUGCCGUAUUAAGGCGAAACCGCGAAUGGCUCAUUAAAUCAGUUAUGGUUCCUUGGAUCGUACCUUACUACUUGGAUAACUGUGGCAAUUCUAGAGCUAAUACAUGCAGCAGAGCUCCGACCCUCUGGGGACGAGCGCUUUUAUUAGACCAAAACCAAUCGGACCUCGUGUCCGUAUUAUGUGGUGACUCUGUAUAACUUUGGGCUGAUCGCACGGGCUCGUCCCGGCGACGUAUCUUUCAAGUGUCUGCCUUAUCAACUGUCGAUGGUAGGUUACGCGCCUACCAUGGUCGUAACGGGUGACGGGGAAUCAGGGUUCGAUUCCGGAGAGGGAGCCUGAGAAACGGCUACCACAUCCAAGGAAGGCAGCAGGCGCGCAAAUUACCCACUCCCAGAACGGGGAGGUAGUGACGAAAAAUAACAAUACGGGACUCUUUUGAGACCCCGUAAUUGGAAUGAGUACACUCUAAAUCCUUUAACGAGGAUCAAUUGGAGGGCAAGUCUGGUGCCAGCAGCCGCGGUAAUUCCAGCUCCAAUAGCGUAUAUUAAAGUUGUUGCGGUUAAAAAGCUCGUAGUUGGAUCUCAGUUCCAGACGGGUGGUCCGCCUACCGGUGGUUACUGCCUGUUCUGAACAGCCAGCCGGUUUCCUUUGAUGAUCUUCACCGGUUGUCUUGGGUGACCGGCAAGUUUACUUUGAAAAAAUUAGAGUGCUCAAAGCAGGCGUGACGCCUGAAUAAUGGUGCAUGGAAUAAUGGAAUAGGACCUCGGUUCUAUUUUGUUGGUUUUCGGAAUACGAGGUAAUGAUUAAGAGGGACAGACGGGGGCAUUCGUAUUGCGACGCUAGAGGUGAAA
This 866-nucleotide ribosomal RNA is filed under the name Stegodyphus annulipes. Its description in RNAcentral is "SSU rRNA". It matches the Rfam family "Eukaryotic small subunit ribosomal RNA", at positions 52 to 916 of the family's 1831-position model. The record is from RNAcentral. Lineage: Eukaryota; Metazoa; Arthropoda; Arachnida; Araneae; Eresidae.